RNAcentral lists this ribosomal RNA (253 nucleotides) under uncultured bacterium. Its description in RNAcentral is "partial 16S ribosomal RNA". It matches the Rfam family "Bacterial small subunit ribosomal RNA", at positions 524 to 776 of the family's 1533-position model. The record is from RNAcentral.
UACGUAGGGGGCAAGCGUUGUCCGGAAUUAUUGGGCGUAAAGAGCGCGCAGGCGGUCGUGCAAGUCGCGUGUGAAAGCCCCCGGCUCAACUGGGGAGGGUCACGCGAUACUGCUCGACUUGAAGGCAGGAGAGGGAAGUGGAAUUCCCGGUGUAGUGGUGAAAUGCGUAGAUAUCGGGAGGAACACCAGUGGCGAAGGCGACUUCCUGGCCUGUUCUUGACGCUGAGGCGCGAAAGCUAGGGUAGCAAACGGG